RNAcentral lists this long non-coding RNA (953 nucleotides) under Macaca fascicularis (crab-eating macaque). Its description in RNAcentral is "lncRNA (ENSMFAG00000063426.1)". The record is from RNAcentral. Lineage: Eukaryota; Metazoa; Chordata; Mammalia; Primates; Cercopithecidae.
AGGGUAUGCCUGCCUUCCUGGAUUGGAUCAGACUGCAUCUGCCUCUUCAUGGCAAGAAUUUCCCUCCUCCUCUCAUUUUCUGGAACAGGACAGUCUAAUGCCACGUAACAAUUUUCCACUUGAAGAUAAACACACAUCUUCCUCAUUCCUAGUGCUCACAUGGAGGAAGAAAGCUCGGCUGUGGGCUGUGACAGUGCAGAACAUAUGUAAAAGUUGUUUAAAGACACAAAAUCGGAGGUGGGCGGAGCAAGAUGGCCGAAUAGGAACAGCUCCAGUCUCCAACUCCCAGCGCGAGCAACACAGAAGACCGGUGAUUUGUGCAUUUUCAACUGAGGUACUGGGUUCAUCUCACUGGGGAGUGCCGGACGAUCGGUGCUGGUCAGCUGCUGCAGCCCGACCAGCGAGAGCUGAAGCAGGGCGAGGCAUUGCCUCACCUGGGAAGCGCAAGGGGGAAGGGAAUCCUUUUCCUAGCCAGGGAACUGAGACACACAACACCUGGAAAAUCGGGUAACUCCCACCCCAAUACUGCGCUUUAAGCAAACAGGCACACCAGGAGAUCAUAUCCCACACCUGGCCGGGAGGGUCCCACACCCACGGAGCCUCCCUCAUUGCUAGCACAGCAGUCUGUGAUCUACCGGCAAGGCAGCAGCAAGGCUGGGGGAGGGGCGCCCGCCAUUGCUGAGGCUUAAGUAGGUAAGCAAAGCUGCUGGGAAGCUCGAACUGGGUGGAGCUCACAGCAGCUCAAGGAAACCUGCCUGUCUCUGUAGACUCCACCUCUAGGGACAGGGCAAUAAAAAAGCAUAGCCGAAACCUCUGCAGGCAUAGCGACUCUGUCUGACAGCUUUGAAGAGAGCAGUGGAUCUCCCAACACGGAGGUUGAGAUCUGAGAAGGGACAGACUCCCUGCUCAAGUGGGUCCCUGACCCCUGAGUAGCCUAACUGGGAGACAUCCCC